GUGUGUGUAUAUAAAGCAGUGUGUUUGUGGAGUGUGCAUUAUAUAAACACACUGCACAAACACACUGCAUUAUAUACACACUAC
Molecule: microRNA precursor, 84 nt
Filed under: Pelobates cultripes (western spadefoot toad)
Lineage: Eukaryota; Metazoa; Chordata; Amphibia; Anura; Pelobatidae
Source: RNAcentral